This 675-nucleotide ribosomal RNA is filed under the name uncultured earthworm cast bacterium. RNAcentral's name for it is "bacterial SSU rRNA". It matches the Rfam family "Bacterial small subunit ribosomal RNA", at positions 41 to 698 of the family's 1533-position model. The record is from RNAcentral.
GGCGUGCCUAAUACAUGCAAGUCGAGCGGACUGAUUAGAAGCUUGCUUCUAUGACGUUAGCGGCGGACGGGUGAGUAACACGUGGGCAACCUGCCUGUAAGACUGGGAUAACUUCGGGAAACCGAAGCUAAUACCGGAUAGGAUCUUCUCCUUCAUGGGAGAUGAUUGAAAGAUGGUUUCGGCUAUCACUUACAGAUGGGCCCGCGGUGCAUUAGCUAGUUGGUGAGGUAACGGCUCACCAAGGCAACGAUGCAUAGCCGACCUGAGAGGGUGAUCGGCCACACUGGGACUGAGACACGGCCCAGACUCCUACGGGAGGCAGCAGUAGGGAAUCUUCCGCAAUGGACGAAAGUCUGACGGAGCAACGCCGCGUGAGUGAUGAAGGCUUUCGGGUCGUAAAACUCUGUUGUUAGGGAAGAACAAGUACGAGAGUAACUGCUCGUACCUUGACGGUACCUAACCAGAAAGCCACGGCUAACUACGUGCCAGCAGCCGCGGUAAUACGUAGGUGGCAAGCGUUAUCCGGAAUUAUUGGGCGUAAAGCGCGCGCAGGCGGUUUUUAAGUCUGAUGUGAAAGCCCACGGCUCAACCGUGGAGGGUCAUUGGAAACUGGGGAACUUGAGUGCAGAAGAGAAAAGCGGAAUUCCACGUGUAGCGGUGAAAUGCGUAGAGAUG